GGUCCGUCGCACAGGCGG
Molecule: unclassified non-coding RNA, 18 nt
Filed under: Chlamydomonas reinhardtii
Lineage: Eukaryota; Viridiplantae; Chlorophyta; Chlorophyceae; Chlamydomonadales; Chlamydomonadaceae
Description: small RNA Cre_1966
Source: RNAcentral